This 254-nucleotide ribosomal RNA is filed under the name uncultured bacterium. RNAcentral describes it as "partial 16S ribosomal RNA". It matches the Rfam family "Bacterial small subunit ribosomal RNA", at positions 524 to 776 of the family's 1533-position model. The record is from RNAcentral.
UACGGGGGGAGCAAGCGUUGUUCGGAUUUACUGGGCGUAAAGGGCGCGUAGGCGGUCGUGACAAGUCACUUGUGAAAUCUCCGGGCUUAACUCGGAACGGUCAAGUGAUACUGUCGGACUAGAGUACAGAAGGGGCAACUGGAAUUCCUGGUGUAGCGGUGGAAUGCGCAGAUAUCAGGAGGAACACCGGUGGCGAAGGCGGGUCUCUGGGCCGAUACUGACGCUGAGGAGCGAAAGCGUGGGGAGCGAACAGG